GGUCCUAUAGUGUAGUGGUUAUCACUUCUGAUUCUGAUUCAGGCAACCCCGGUUCGAAUCUGGGUAGGACCU
The sequence is a transfer RNA, 72 nucleotides long. It matches the Rfam family "tRNA". Rfam says of the family: Transfer RNA (tRNA) molecules are approximately 80 nucleotides in length. Their secondary structure includes four short double-helical elements and three loops (D, anti-codon, and T loops). The record is from Rfam.